CUGUCACCUCCAGCCUCUCCCCUCUCGGCCGCCUCUGCCAGCAGCCAGAGCCGGACUCACUGACAAGCCGCAGAGAGAGACACACUGAGAGGGAGAUGAUUAUUAGUUGCGUUGAGUCAUCAGGCAAAACAACAUCACUCAAACAACCCUAUUACUUCAGUAGCAAUGAACUGUCUCUGGAUUUUAUUAAGCAUCUCACUAGUUCCUUUUCUUCAGCUGUAUGGCACCCUGUCUUCCUGUACACCAGAGGCUCCUCAGCUGGGUAAGGUGAGCCAACGUUACCAGGAGUAUAUGCUGAGAGGCCAUUUCAAAGUCUUUCAUAGAAGGCUGUGCUUGGGCAAGUAGAACUUUUCAUCAUACAGUCCCAGAGAUGUGAAGUUAUCAAGGUCAGAGAAGAGGAAAAGAGACUCAGAGAAACUGUGUUCUCUAGUCUUUCAUUCGGGAACAAAUGGUGUCGUACCAAAUGGCUGAAAAGAUCCCAGGCUUACUCUGAGAAACAUCUCUCUCUUCUGAAUUAAACUUGCACAGUGGCUA
Molecule: long non-coding RNA, 534 nt
Filed under: Homo sapiens (human)
Lineage: Eukaryota; Metazoa; Chordata; Mammalia; Primates; Hominidae
Description: non-protein coding SATB2-AS1:3
Source: RNAcentral